AAGGAAGGAAGGGGAAAGGGAAGAUCUGGAAUGUUAGGGUAGCUGACUUAAUUCAGUAGCAUUCUUAGUAUAGCUGUAAGUGGUGUAAUUAUGUUUUACAAUGAUCCUAUUUGAAACAUAACUCCUGUUACACCACUAAGUUUCUGUUAUACAGCAAUUAUACAAUAAAAAGUACUACCCAUAUUAUAGUAUUGUGUUUUGGGGGGGACACUAAAAGAUUUGAGAGAGAGAUUGUCAAACGUAAAGUCACUUUUGGGGGGUUUAAAACUUAACUGAAAAAUUAAUGCUUCAUCAUAACAUUUAAGCUAUAUCUAGAAAGUAGACUGGAGAACUGAGAAAAUUACCCAGAUAAUUCAAUGCAAAAUAUAUACAUAAAUACCCCUAUGUGUGAACUCAGAAAAUUCUGAGAAACUUAUCAAAGCCAACCGUCUAUACUGAUCAAAUUUACUGAAUAAUUGUUAAUUUAUCCAUUGUGCUUAGCUUUGUGACACAGCCAAAAGUUACCUAUUUAAUCUUUUCAAUAAAAAUUGUUUUUUGAAAUUCAGAAAUGAUUUAAAAAGAGGUCAGGUUUUUAACUAUUUAUUGAAGUAUGUGGAUGUACAGUAUUUCAAUAGAUAUGAAUAUGAAUAAAUGGUAUGCCUUAAGAUCCUUUGAAUAUGUAUUUACUUUAAAGACUGGAAAAAGCUCUUCCUGUCUUUUAGUAAAACAUCCAUAUUUCAUAAUCUUAUGUAAAAUAUGUUGUACUGUUUCCAAUAGGUGAAUAUAAAGUCAGUUUAUCAAUUAAAAUAUGUAUUUGACUCAUUUUAAAACUCUAUUAGUUUAAGAGAAAAAGGAAGAAAUAAUAAUUUAAACAUAUUUCUGCUAUUCCCUACUUAAUUUUCUGCUGCAUCCACGAUACCACAUUCACACCUUUUAGGUAUGCCAAAGUAAUACAGGUUGAAAAUUUAAGAUGCCUCAAUUUCAAAGAGCUCGACAUUGUAGCCUUUCUCUCUGUUGCUGAUUCCCAAAAGGUUUGACAAGCUGAACUACAUCUAGCCCAAAGAAGUUUCCAGGAGAGAUUUUAUUAUCAAUUAUUUAGAAGUUUUACCUGCUGAAAAGCAGCAGAGUUAGCAAGAAAGGCUGAUGAUAAAAUCCUGAUGGUUUUACAGGAUAUGCAUCUGAAAACUCAAAUGCCUAUCAGACUCAGGCAAAUAGUAUGCUUUCAUAAGACAGCUGGGUAUAAAACAGGGUGUAUAUACUCCACCUCUAGGCAUUCCAGUACAAUUUCCUUAAAAAUACCUUGCUUUCCAAACAAAGUAAUUUGGCUGAGAGCCCUUAGUUUGUGACUGCUAUAAUAUGCAAAAGUGAGCCACCCCAAAUGAAUGAUUUCAGCCCUCUUCUUCAGAUCUGUCCAUUGAUGAUGGCCGACCACGUAAAAAGGAACAAUGUGCAUUCUGCAAAGGACCUGCCAAAUUUUGGAUAAUCCACCAAGACUAUUUCCCAGGCAUCUGCAAUCAACAAAAUUCUUAGGGAAAUGUAAAUCAGAAUACAUACACAAAUUUUUUUAAAAUACACAAUAGAAUACUGAUUUUAAUCUUGAGUGAUGUUGUUUGAGCCAAUUUAUAUCAAAAUACUAAUUAUAUGCACAUCUGUUUGUGCUGGGGCAGUAGAAGAAGAGGGAGAUUCUAAUUCUAGCAAUUAAACUAUAUACAACCUAAGGAAUACAUUUGUACUUUGUUGUCAAAAUAUAAUGCAAAUCCUGUGGACGUGACUUUUUAAUUUGAAAAAAAAGAAAACCAUAACUUUGAUAUAUAUAUAAAUGAACACAUUAAUUCAUUAAUGAAGGACCAAGUAAGAGGUUACAACCAGAUAAAAGAACAAUCCAAAGAAGAGACAUAUUUAUGGGUGAAGAAUAUUGAAAUUAAUGUAUUACUGGAGGCAAAAUUGACUUCUUCCAAAGUAAGAAAUUCAACUGAAUCUCUAACCAACAGAUUUAUUUACACAUCUAUAGACAAGAAAUAUUCUGCCUCGGUAUCACUUAUCUACAACUUGUAAAAUAAUUCAAAUGCAAUGAAAGGUAUGGGGCUCCCAUAGAAUCAAAAUCAGAUAACUUGGAGGGUAUGCUCCAACCAAUGUGUGGGUUUUUCAUUGCAGGACAAAGUUUUGCCUGAAAUGAUGAGAUGUAAAAAUCUUAAAAGAUGUUUCAUUAAAUGAAUUACUAAUAUUUUGAGGUUCAAUAAUAUAAUCUCUAUUGUAAUGACUCAUAAAAAUCCCCAAGUUUAUCUACAUAUCUAAUAUUCUACAUUCUCUGUAUUUUAAUUAUUUCAUUUUCUUCCUUAUCCCACAAACCAUUGCCCAUAGUUUGGGACAUAUAGGAAGAGAAGUAAAAAAUUAAAACAUAACAAGAACCACCUUGCUUCAAGAAUCUACUUUGGGCCAGCCCCAGUGUCCUAGUGGGUCAGUUCAGUGCACUCUUCAGCAGCCAAGGCCUGGUUCCUGGGUGUGAACUUACACCACUCGUCUGUCAGUGGCCAUGCUGUGGCAGUGGCUCACAUACAAAAACAGGAGGAUUGGCAGCAGAUGUUAUCUCAGGGCAACUCUUCCUCAGCAAAAAAAAUUUUUAAAAAAAUCUACUUUGUUGAAAAAUUAAUGUAUUUUGAACAUUUGUUAACAGAAAAAAAUCUUUUUGUCCCUUAGGAGGAGGGCUAUUUAAUUCAUGGGAUAAUAGGAAUUUUUCAUCAACAAUGAGAAAAAUGAAGUAACAGUUGAGAUAGCAAUAUUUUGUCAACCAAAUGCAAUGGUAAUGGUGAAAACAUUGCAAGAAGCUGUAGCAUAAGCUGAAUGGUCUGCUUCCACUUAGUGCUAAUGAGCCCAGUCCUUGCACAAAUUUUGGUUUGGUAAAAACUACAGGAGGUAGCAUGGUUCAUUAGGCUUUCAAAGCUUUAAAAUGUUAAAGGGGGUGGUUUUCUUCCUUCAUUUCAAGUGAAUUGCUGAAAGCAUUGGGAUAUUCCUAAGUGGAACUUUGAAUUUGCUAGUUUCUUCAUUAAUUUUGACCUUUUUAUGUUUAAAAAAGUUAACUCUACACUAUACCGCAGCAGACUUCUACCUCUUGCAGUUUUGGAUUGUGCUUAAAUGAGUACUCCAAGCACGUGAAAUUUCCUGAGAAUACUGGGGGACCAUAUUUUAGAAAAAGAACUCGUGAAAUAUUCUUUGGAGAACAUAAUAUGCAAAUAAUGAAGAGCAAAGCUUUCUUGACCGUUCUCAAGCACCUAAUAGGAUCCACAGAACUCUUACAUGGUUUUCUAAGUAGUUUCAUAAAUAUAGACUGUGGCUGCAGGAAACUUCCCACCUCCCUACCGUGCAUUUGACAAAUGACCUGACAAACGCAUGGUCAAUAGCUCAUUUUUGACGUGCUCCUUAAGAAAUUGUUGCCAGAGAUUUGAAACUGCUUCAAGCUGAUAUCUUUUGAAACAAAACACACACACACACACACACACACACAAAAUUGCUCUGCUAUCAGUGAUCUGGAAAAUAAGCUUGCAAGCCAGCCAUGUGGUGUUCUGGAUAACUCAAAAAAAAAGAGAAGAAGAAGAAAUGACAACAGUGCAGCCAAGUUUCUGUUUAAGUUUCAUUUGCUAAGAUUUCAGCAUAAGUAACAUCUUGUGAUAUAAUUAAUCAGAAGAUGGCACCUGCUUUAAAUGCUGACGUGGAGAAAAGCAGAUUUUUUAAAAAUUUGGAACAAAAUUAUUUCUGGAAAUAUAUCUUUCCUGUUGAUAGAUAACUAGUUUAUGCUUUUGAUAAUCUUACUGUCUAGUAAUUUUAAAUGAUGAUGAAGAGAAAGAC
This 3822-nucleotide long non-coding RNA is filed under the name Equus caballus (horse). RNAcentral's name for it is "lncRNA (ENSECAG00000057407.1)". Lineage: Eukaryota; Metazoa; Chordata; Mammalia; Perissodactyla; Equidae. The record is from RNAcentral.